AUGAGUCAGCAACGGUAUGGAAACUUGACAACAUUAGCUCGGGAAAGAUGCCACUCACAGUUGAAUAAGUCUGGACUGGUACACCAAGGUAUUGCUAGGCGGACCAUGCAAGAGAAAUCAAGUCAAAUAGCAGAUUUCAGCAGGAAAAGGGUUUCUCACAGGCCUAAUUUGCAAGAUGAGGAACUAUGGAAAAAGUACGAGUUAGCUACAAAAGAUGGAAAUGAUGCGGCAACUAGUACACCAAUCUUGUUUACUGCAAAUUGGGAUGCGAAUGAUUCCGGAACUAUGAAUGAUGAAGUUGAUGCCAACAACGAUGGUGACAUGGGAAUGGUCCAAUAUUACUGA
This 345-nucleotide ribosomal RNA is filed under the name Triticum aestivum (bread wheat). Its description in RNAcentral is "partial small subunit ribosomal RNA". The record is from RNAcentral. Lineage: Eukaryota; Viridiplantae; Streptophyta; Magnoliopsida; Poales; Poaceae.